This 515-nucleotide long non-coding RNA is filed under the name Leptinotarsa decemlineata (Colorado potato beetle). RNAcentral's name for it is "uncharacterized LOC111518229, transcript variant X2". Lineage: Eukaryota; Metazoa; Arthropoda; Insecta; Coleoptera; Chrysomelidae. The record is from RNAcentral.
UCUUGUUUGAAUAAUAGCUUGCACUCGGUAUAUCGAAUAGAGAUAGCCAUACAAACGCGAGUCGUCGGCAAUUUCUGAAAUUUUGAGACCGAUUAAUGAAGUUUUAUUAUCGUUUGACAGUUUCAAUUAUUUUAGACUACACAAAUAGUUGUUCUCACAACUAAUAAACUAUGGGCAUUUUUUAUUUGUCAGAGUAAUAAGUAGGCAAUGGUCUUUGGCAGAUUUUACGAAGGCCCCAAGAUCAUUAUUAAUAAGAUUGCAUGCAUCAUCCACCGUAUGUGGAAGGAAACUAUGUUACCAGAUGAGAGGAGUAUAUAGUAAAUAAAAGAGGCCCCAGUAUAGAUCCCUGCGGGACACCUGUCUUGAGUUUCAAAUAUUCAGAGAUCUUAUCUUCGAGAACAACUUUUUGCUGCCUAUUCUUGAGUUAUUUUCGAAAUGGAAAAAAAACUGGCCAAUGAAAAGUUGAACAACACGCUGAGGAGAUUGAUGUACUAAUAACUUCUGGAGCGGAAGUG